This 253-nucleotide ribosomal RNA is filed under the name uncultured bacterium. Its description in RNAcentral is "partial 16S ribosomal RNA". It matches the Rfam family "Bacterial small subunit ribosomal RNA", at positions 524 to 776 of the family's 1533-position model. The record is from RNAcentral.
UACGAAGGAGGCUAGCGUUGUUCGGAAUGACUGGGCGUAAAGCGCACGUAGGCGGCAAGUUUAGUCAGAGGUGAAAUCCCGGGGCUCAACCCCGGAACUGCCUUUGAUACUGGCUAGCUAGAGUCCGGAAGAGGGUGGCGGAAUACCCAGUGUAGAGGUGAAAUUCGUAGAUAUUGGGUAGAACACCAGUGGCGAAGGCGGCCACCUGGUCCGGUACUGACGCUGAGGUGCGAAAGCGUGGGGAGCAAACAGG